UACGUAGGUGGCAAGCGUUGUCCGGAUUUACUGGGCGUAAAGAGCGCGCAGGCGGUCGUUCAAGUCGCGUGUGAAAGCCCCCCGGCUCAACUGGGGAGGGUCACGCGAUACUGAUCGACUGGAAGGCAGGAGAGGGUAGUGGAAUUCCCGGUGUAGUGGUGAAAUGCGCAGAUAUCAGGAGGAACACCGGUGGCGAAGGCGGGUCUCUGGGCCGAUACUGACGCUGGAGGAGCGAAAGCGUGGGGAGCGAACAGG
RNAcentral lists this ribosomal RNA (255 nucleotides) under uncultured bacterium. Its description in RNAcentral is "partial 16S ribosomal RNA". It matches the Rfam family "Bacterial small subunit ribosomal RNA", at positions 524 to 776 of the family's 1533-position model. The record is from RNAcentral.